UACAUAGGGAGCGAGCGUUAUCCGGAUUUAUUGGGUGUAAAGGGUGCGUAGACGGGAAUUUAAGUUGGUUGUGAAAUCCCUCGGCUCAACUGAGGAACUGUAACCAAAACUGGAUUUCUUGAGUGCUGGAGAGGAAAGUGGAAUUCCUAGUGUAGCGGUGAAAUGCGUAGAUAUUAGGAGGAACAUCAGUGGCGAAGGCGACUUUCUGGACGAUAACUGACGUUGAGGCACGAAAGUGUGGGGAGCAAACA
This 251-nucleotide ribosomal RNA is filed under the name uncultured bacterium. RNAcentral's name for it is "partial 16S ribosomal RNA". It matches the Rfam family "Bacterial small subunit ribosomal RNA", at positions 524 to 774 of the family's 1533-position model. The record is from RNAcentral.